UAGCGACAGGCUUAACACAUGCAAGUCGAGGGGCAGUGGGGAGAUAGCAAUAUCUCCGCCGGCGACCGGCGCACGGGUGAGUAACACGUAUGCAACCUGCCCCUUACAGGGGGAUAACCGGGAGAAAUUCCGACUAAUACCGCGUAUACCGCUUUGGGACAUCCCGGGGCGGCGAAAGGGCCUUCGGGUCCGGUAGGGGAUGGGCAUGCGGCGCAUUAGCCAGUAGGCGGGGUAACGGCCCACCUAGGCGACGAUGCGUAGGGGUUCUGAGAGGAAGGUCCCCCACAUUGGUACUGAGACACGGACCAAACUCCUACGGGAGGCAGCAGUGAGGAAUAUUGGUCAAUGGGCGCGAGCCUGAACCAGCCAAGUCGCGUGAGGGAAGACGGUCCUAUGGAUUGUAAACCUCUUUUGUCGGGGAGCAAAGGGAGCCGUGCGCGGCUUUAUAUGAGCGUACCCGAAGAAAAAGCAUCGGCUAACUCCGUGCCAGCAGCCGCGGUAAUACGGAGGAUGCGAGCGUUAUCCGGACUUAUUGGGUUUAAAGGGUGCGCAGGCGGACAGCGCAAGUCAGCGGUAAAAAUUCGGGGCUCAACCCCGUCCUGCCGUUGAGACUGCCUGACUGGAGUGCGGCAGAGGAAAGCGGAAUGCGAGGUGUAGCGGUGAAAUGCAUAGAUAUCACGCAGAACUCCGAUUGCGAAGGCAGCUUUCCAUGCCGUUACUGACGCUGAGGCACGAAAGCGUGGGGAUCGAACAGGAUUAGAUACCCUGGUAGUCCACGCAGUAAACGAUGAGUACUAGCUGUUUGGCAUAAACGAGUGCUGAGCGGCACAGCGAAAGCGUUAAGUACUCCACCUGGGGAGUACGCCGGCAACGGUGAAACUCAAAGGAAUUGACGGGGGCCCGCACAAGCGGAGGAACAUGUGGUUUAAUUCGAUGAUACGCGAGGAACCUUACCCGGGCUCAAACGGCAGGGGAAUGGCGGAGAGACCCGCCAGCCAGCAAUGGCCGCUGCCGAGGUGCUGCAUGGUUGUCGUCAGCUCGUGCCGUGAGGUGUCGGCUUAAGUGCCAUAACGAGCGCAACCCCCAUUUUCAGUUACUAACGGAUCAAGCCGAGGACUCUGGAAAGACUGCCGGCGCAAGCUGCGAGGAAGGCGGGGAUGACGUCAAAUCAGCACGGCCCUUACGUCCGGGGCGACACACGUGUUACAAUGGCGGGGAUACAGAGGGGAGCCAUGCCGCGAGGCAGAGCGGAUCCCGAAAACCCGUCUCAGUUCGGAUCGGAGUCUGCAACCCGACUCCGUGAAGCUGGAUUCGCUAGUAAUCGCGCAUCAGCCAUGGCGCGGUGAAUACGUUCCCGGGCCUUG
Molecule: ribosomal RNA, 1364 nt
Filed under: uncultured bacterium
Lineage: Bacteria
Description: bacterial SSU rRNA
Rfam family: Bacterial small subunit ribosomal RNA
Source: RNAcentral